CCAAUAGCGUAUAUUAAAGUUGUUGCAGUUAAAAAGCUCGUAGUUGAAUUUCGGGGUUAGUAGGUUGGUCAUGCCUCUGGUAUGUACUGGUCUCACUGAUUCCUCCUUCCUGAUGAACCUUAAUGCCAUUAAUUUGGUGUUUUGGGGAAUUUGGACUGUUACUUUGAAAAAAUUAGAGUGUUUAAAGCAAGCUAACGCUUGAAUACAUUAGCAUGGAAUAAUGAAAUAGGACGUUCGAUCCUAUUUUGUUGGUUUCUAGGAUUGACGUAAUGAUUAAUAGGGAUAGUUGGGGGCAUUAGUAUUCAAUUGUCAGAGGUGAAAUUCUUGGAUUUAUUGAAGACUAACUACUGCGAAAGCAUUUGCCAAGGAUGUUUUCAUUAAUCAAGAACGAAAGUUAGGGGAUCGAAGACGAUCAGAUACCGUCGUAGUCUUAACCAUAAACUAUGCCGACUAGGGAUCGGAUGAUGUUAAUUUUUUAAUGACUCAUUCGACGCCUUACG
RNAcentral lists this ribosomal RNA (500 nucleotides) under uncultured Glomeromycotina. RNAcentral's name for it is "partial small subunit ribosomal RNA". It matches the Rfam family "Eukaryotic small subunit ribosomal RNA", at positions 591 to 1092 of the family's 1831-position model. The record is from RNAcentral. Lineage: Eukaryota; Fungi; Glomeromycota.